GACGAACGCUGGCGGCGUGCUUAACACAUGCAAGUCGAACGGAAAGGCCCUGCUUUUGUGGGGUGCUCGAGUGGCGAACGGGUGAGUAACACGUGAGUAACCUGCCCUUGACUUUGGGAUAACUUCAGGAAACUGGGGCUAAUACCGGAUAGGAGCUCCUGCUGCAUGGUGGGGGUUGGAAAGUUUCGGCGGUUGGGGAUGGACUCGCGGCUUAUCAGCUUGUUGGUGGGGUAGUGGCUUACCAAGGCUUUGACGGGUAGCCGGCCUGAGAGGGUGACCGGCCACAUUGGGACUGAGAUACGGCCCAGACUCCUACGGGAGGCAGCAGGGGGGAAUAUUGCACAAUGGGCGGAAGCCUGAUGCAGCAACGCCGCGUGCGGGAUGACGGCCUUCGGGUGGUAAACCGAUUUCGCCUGUGACGAAGCGUGAGUGACGGUAAUGGGUAAAGAAGCACCGGCUAACUACGUG
RNAcentral lists this ribosomal RNA (468 nucleotides) under uncultured bacterium. Its description in RNAcentral is "partial 16S ribosomal RNA". It matches the Rfam family "Bacterial small subunit ribosomal RNA", at positions 28 to 507 of the family's 1533-position model. The record is from RNAcentral.